RNAcentral lists this ribosomal RNA (253 nucleotides) under uncultured bacterium. RNAcentral's name for it is "partial 16S ribosomal RNA". It matches the Rfam family "Bacterial small subunit ribosomal RNA", at positions 524 to 776 of the family's 1533-position model. The record is from RNAcentral.
UACGUAGGGGCCGAGCGUUGUCCGGAGUUAUUGGGCGUAAAGCGCGCGCAGGCGGCUGAUCAAGCCCGACGUGAAAGCCCCCGGCUUAACCGGGGAGGGUCGUUGGGGACUGGUUGGCUUGAGGGCGGGAGAGGUCGGUGGAAUUCCCGGUGUAGUGGUGAAAUGCGUAGAGAUCGGGAGGAACACCUGUGGCGAAGGCGGCCGACUGGGCCGACCCUGACGCUGAGGCGCGAAGGCGUGGGGAGCGAACGGG